Molecule: unclassified non-coding RNA, 375 nt
Filed under: uncultured bacterium
Lineage: Bacteria
Description: contains 16S-23S intergenic spacer region
Source: RNAcentral
UCCGGUUUAGACCGGCAGUCUCGCCAGAGUUCCCAACUGAAUGCUGGCAACAUAGGACGGGGGUUGCGCUCGUUGCGGGGCUUAACCCAACAUCUCACGACACGAGCUGACGACAGCCAUGCACCACCUGUGAUGGUGUCCCGAAGGAAAACCGUGUUUCCACGGCGGUCACCAACAUGUCAAGCCCAGGUAAGGUUCUUCGCGUUGCGUCGAAUUAAACCACAUGCUCCACCGCUUGUGCGGGCCCCCGUCAAUUCCUUUGAGUUUCAGCCUUGCGGCCGUACUCCCCAAGCGGAGUGCUUAAUGCGUUAGCUGCAGCACUAAAGGGCGGAAACCCUCUAACACUUAGCACUCAUCGUUUACGGCGUGGACUAC